CCUACGGGUGGCUGCAGUAAGGAAUAUUGGUCAAUGGAGGAAACUCUGAACCAGCCAUCCCGCGUGAAGGAUGAAGGGGCUCUGCCUUGUAAACUUCUUUUGUCUGGGGCGAAAAAGCUCGAUUUAUCGAGAACUGACGGUACCAGAAGAAUAAGCACCGGCUAACUCCGUGCCAGCAGCCGCGGUAAUACGGAGGGUGCAGGAGUCAUCCGGAAUAACGGGGGCGAAGGCGUCUUAGUGCGUCUUUGUAGAAAGGCUGUGGAUUAACCAUGGAAUUGCCAUUGAUACUGCAGAGCUGGAAUGAGGUUGAGGUUGGCGGAAUGUGACAUGUAGCGGUGAAAUGCGUAGAUAUGUCAUGGAACACCGAUUGCGAAGGCAGCUGACUGGACCUAUAUUGACGCUGAGGCACGAAAGCGUGGGGAGCGAACAGGAUUAGAUACCCUAGUAGUC
RNAcentral lists this ribosomal RNA (450 nucleotides) under uncultured bacterium. RNAcentral describes it as "partial 16S ribosomal RNA". It matches the Rfam family "Bacterial small subunit ribosomal RNA", at positions 338 to 795 of the family's 1533-position model. The record is from RNAcentral.